This 723-nucleotide long non-coding RNA is filed under the name Bemisia tabaci. RNAcentral's name for it is "lncRNA ENSSSA1UGG006687". Lineage: Eukaryota; Metazoa; Arthropoda; Insecta; Hemiptera; Aleyrodidae. The record is from RNAcentral.
GUGUCCUGAGGUGCUACAUUUUAGCGUUUAAAAAAUCUUGUCUGAUAAUAGAGGUAUAUGAUAAUUGAGAAUCUCACAUAUUUUGAAAGUAUUACUACAUUGUCUCUAGUAUUUUUUUCAGUUUCUGCUCACUUAUUUAUCGAAUCUUAAUUUAUUCUUCUAUAUUUUUAUUUUUCAGCGGCAGGUUCAUGGAGACAAAAUAAUAAUCCGCAGUCUGCAUUUGCUUCUGUGGAUUCAAAGGAAGAAUUUUGGAAUGCCAAUUCGGGAUCAAGAUCCUCUGGAGAAAAAUCUAAUGCUGGAUAUUUUCGGAACGAUAUUCGAAAGAACAAUUUUAUGCAGUCCAGCCCACAGCACUCGGUGGAUACAUUUUUCAACAAGUCCGACAAAUAUAAUCAUACACCUUUGCAAAAGCAUGUGAAUGAAAAUUCCAGCGCAUCAAAGUCAAAAACUAAUUCUAAUAGUGGGGACUACAGUGCCAUGUGGGAAGAACUGCAGGUAUUUAAUUUUAUUUCUUUGGUAGGGAAGUCGGCUUUUGGUCUCUUUAGAGUGUUUUGUGAAGCUGUUAGGAGCACCACCGUCAAGACUCUAGAUUCUAGAGAUAUCAUAAUCAACUACACCAUAAUAUCUCAUAAUGCCAUCAUUCAUACUAGAACCAACAAGCAAAGGUGGAGAAAAUCUUCAAAACAAAAAUCAAUAAAUCUUCAAGGAAGAAUAGACAGCUAA